GGCCGCUUGAAGACUCUAUCCAAUACUGAGCUCACGACGUGAGCAAUAAGAGCUCAAAAUGUGUAACGCCCGGGUUUCAGGGCUAAGCAUUUUUGUCAAUGUAAUAGUCUAGGUCAACUCUUGUAACUCUUUUUGAAGUAAUAAAGAUGAAAUAUUUGAGUAUUAUGUGAAUUAUGUGUGUUUAUGUGUUUAUUAUUUAAUUAUAAGUGUAUAAUUAAUAAAUAAUAAAAAUAAGCGUCAAAAUUUAAGUGUGAGAUAAGCCCUAUAUCUCUACAUAAAGUUGUAGACUACGUCUCAAGGUUUCCGUACAUAUAAAGAACGCCGAAAUCCGAGUUAUAACGAAGAAGUUAUGGCCCGUCGAAGUUUUACGGCAAAACCGGCACGGCACCGGGAAGCGUAAAUAGUGAAUUUACGAUAGAGUGAGAUUUAGCCUUAGCAAUCUAAUUGAAAGUCGUAGAAUAUGUUAAACUAAGAACAUCGAUAAAAAGAACGCCCAAAUCUGACUUCGUAUGAAGAACUUAUGAUUUUUCGAAGUGACCAAUCCUGUCCCGGCUUGUUAAAAAUAUAACUUUAAAAAUAAAGUCAAAAUUAGCCGACGGAGUCUAAACGAAAGUUGUAGAGUACGUCUUCACCUACGCGUGGAUAUAAAGAACGUCAAAAACGNGUUAAACUAAGAACAUCGAUAAAAAGAACGCCCAAAUCUGACUUCGUAUGAAGAAGUUAUGAUUUUUCGAAGUUUCGGAAUAGCAGUGUACAACCCGAAAUUCGAAUAUUAGAUCGAGCGGUUUUUAGCCGACACGACCUGAACGAGAAUCGAAGAUCUCGUUAAGAGUAGCGUAACGAGAAAAAGAUGGGUGAAAACGGAUGUCGGAUGAAGAAGUUAUGAGGAUUUAACGGACCAAUCGUGUCCCGGCCCGUUAAUAAUAUAAAAUUUAAAAUCGAGCCAAAACUAGCCGACGAAGUCUAAACGAAAGUUGUAGAGUACGUUCCCACCUUCGCGUGGAUAUAAAGAACGUUAAAAACGGAGUUCGUAUGAGAAAGUUACGAAUUUUUAAAGUUGGAAAGUAAACUUGCGAAACUGAUGCAUGAAAGGAUGACGUGGCCGAACUCCCAGCCGUCGGAUGAAAUCGCUUCGGAUGGUGACACCUGGUGCGAGGGUUACGCCCAGCGUAGCGAGGAUACGCCUAGCGUCCGAAGAACGCCCCGCGUCCGAGGCCAAGUACGCCCCGCGUACCUUGGUUCUUAUCCGUCCGAUGGAGUGCAAGACAGCUGGUCCGAGGCUGGCAAUCUUAUCCGAGGAGUACGCCCAGCGUACCCUCGUUACGCCCAGCGUAAUGUCCGAAGCAAGACCCUAUAAAUUGAGGUGCGAGGCUGCCAUUUCUCUUCACCCCAAAACCUCUUCUUUCUCUCACUAGUUUCUCUCUCUAGCUCAUCUAAACCCUCCUAAGCCCUAGGUAAAACCCUUAGCACCCUAGGGAAGCCCCGAGGCUCCCGGAGUCCCGAGAAAAAGGAGUUUUUCGGUUUCGAAACGCUGCUCCAAUCAAGUCCCGGUUCUCGAUAAAAUUCGCUGUAAGUGUGCUACGCUUACGCAAUUUUUAAUAUAGCUUUCAAAUAAUUAUAGGAAUGUUAUUAGGUCCUUAAAAUAAUUAUUUGGGCUAUUAUUAUGAGUUAUAUCGAGUAUUAUUAACGCUUAAUAAUACUCGGACUAAUUAAUUUGUCGCGGUUAUCGUUAAACUAAACCCUAGUGGUAUCGAUACUAGGUUUUAUCGAAGGAAUAUCGUUUUGAGAGUAUCGAAGCGCUGUCCGAGU
This 1809-nucleotide long non-coding RNA is filed under the name Lactuca sativa (garden lettuce). Its description in RNAcentral is "long non-coding RNA (LSAT_LNC007694)". The record is from RNAcentral. Lineage: Eukaryota; Viridiplantae; Streptophyta; Magnoliopsida; Asterales; Asteraceae.